This 395-nucleotide ribosomal RNA is filed under the name uncultured bacterium. RNAcentral describes it as "partial 16S ribosomal RNA". It matches the Rfam family "Bacterial small subunit ribosomal RNA", at positions 338 to 730 of the family's 1533-position model. The record is from RNAcentral.
CCUACGGGAGGCUGCAGUGAGGAAUAUUGGUCAAUGGCCGUAAGGCUGAACCAGCCAAGUCGCGUGAAGGAAGAAGGUGCUAUGGAUUGUAAACUUCUUUUAUCGGGGAAUAAAGGUAUCCACGUGAGCCUGUUUGCAUGUACCUUAUGAAUAAGCAUCGGCUAACUCCGUGCCAGCAGCCGCGGUAAUACGGAGGAUGCGAGCGUUAUCCGGAUUUAUUGGGUUUAAAGGGUGCGUAGGUUGUUUUUUAAGUCAGCGGUGAAAGUUUGUGGCUCAACCAUAAAAUAGCCGUUGAAACUGGAAGACUUGAGAGUGUUUGAGGUAGGCGGAAUGCGUAGUGUAGCGGUGAAAUGCAUAGAUAUCGCGCAGAACUCCGAUUGCGAAGGCAGCUUACU